GUUUAGACUAGAGUCACACAUAUACCUGUGAAGCACCAGAACUCAGCAUUGUAGAUGAGAGUCGUGGCUAUAUCUUUCCUUCUGAUGAGUUCUAUUUGUGGUGUAGGAGAGGCCCUCCAGUGUUAGCGGUGUCUCCCAGACAC
Long non-coding RNA from Coregonus clupeaformis (lake whitefish), 143 nucleotides. RefSeq lists it as uncharacterized. Lineage: Eukaryota; Metazoa; Chordata; Actinopteri; Salmoniformes; Salmonidae. The record is from RefSeq and is a predicted model, not a curated record. The transcript has 3 exons.